AACGAACGCUGGCGGCAUGCCUAACACAUGCAAGUCGAACGAGACCUUCGGGUCUAGUGGCGCACGGGUGCGUAACGUGUGGGAACGUGCCCUUAUGCUCGGAAUAACUCCCUGUCGGGGGUGCUAAUACCGGAUAAUUUCCGCUGACCAAAGAUUUUUCGCGCUUGGAGGGGCCGGCGUUGGUUUAGCUUGUUGGUAGGGUAAGAGCCUAUCAAGGGAAGGUUCGCUAGCUGGUCUGAGAGGAUGAUCAGCCACACUGGGGCUGGGAAACGGCCGAGAAUCCUGCGGGAGGCAGGAGUGGGUAAUAUAGGAAUAUGGGCGGAAGCAUGAACGAGUUAGGCUGGGAGAGUGAUGAAGUCCUUAGAGUUGUAAAGCUCUUUUACCCGGGAUGGUAAUGACGGUACCGAAAGAAUAAGCUCCGGCUAACUCCGUG
RNAcentral lists this ribosomal RNA (433 nucleotides) under uncultured bacterium. RNAcentral describes it as "partial 16S ribosomal RNA". It matches the Rfam family "Bacterial small subunit ribosomal RNA", at positions 29 to 507 of the family's 1533-position model. The record is from RNAcentral.